GCAUGGCACAGCAGGGAAAACCACGGUGGUACAGGAUGGGCCCGCGUCUGAUUAGUUAGUUGGCAGGGUAACGGCCUACCAAGACAACGAUCAGUAGCCGGCUUGAGAGAGUGGACGGCCACAUUGGGACUGAGACACGGCCCAGACUCCUGCGGGAGGCAGCAGUGGGGAAUAUUGCACAAUGGGGGGAACCCUGAUGCAGCAAUGCCGCGUGGGUGAAGAAGCACUCCGGUGCGUAAAGCCCUGUCAGCAGGGAAGAAAAUGACAGUACCUGGACAAGAAGCCCCGGCUAACUACGUGCCAGCAGCCGCGGUAAUACGUAGGGGGCAAGCGUUAUCCGGAUUUACUGGGUGUAAAGGGAGCGCAGGCGGCGUGGCAAGUCAGAUGUGAAAACCCGGGGCCCAACCCCGGGAGUGCAUUUGAAACUGCCAUGCUGGAGUGCCGGAGAGGUAAGCGGAAUUCCUAGUGUAGCGGUGAAAUGCGUAGAUAUUAGGAGGAACACCAGUGGCGGAGGCGGCUUACUGGACGGUAACUGACGCUGAGGCUCGAAAGCGUGGGGAGCAAACAGGAUUAGCUACCCUGGUAGUCCACGCCGUAAACGAUGAAUAAUAGGUACAGGGGCACAAAAGUGCUUCUGU
RNAcentral lists this ribosomal RNA (638 nucleotides) under uncultured bacterium. Its description in RNAcentral is "bacterial SSU rRNA". It matches the Rfam family "Bacterial small subunit ribosomal RNA", at positions 186 to 844 of the family's 1533-position model. The record is from RNAcentral.